CCCGCGGCCUGGAGACUGCGCAAGCGCGGAGCCUCCAAAGACGCCCGCGUAGCUGCUGGCGUGUGGGGCGCGGGUCCGAGUGAGGAUCCCAGGCAGCGGGAGUCCGGAGUCGCCCCCGGGAAAGAGCAAACCCGCUGGUAAUCCAUGAGGUUGACCUGCAGACGGCAAUGAGUCCUGAGCCAAAUAUUCAAGAGCCUAUUGUGUACAAGGCACCGGUGACAGUGACAGAAGCCACAUCAGGAACACAAGACCGCUUUAUCCUCAAACACCGUGUCUGACAGUCAGAAUGCACAUUAACAUAUUGAAGGCUCUGAGAAGUCUGCAGAAAGUACCUCUAUCUCACUUUCUUGAAGCCGGUGUUUCCUGAACUGAUUGGGUCAUAGAGACUUUGGGUUCUGGUUUUUGAGGCUCUUCGGCCCUCGGUGACAGUGUUCCAUCAGGCAAAAGGUAGAGUAGCAUUUCCCCGCCCCUAUCCAUGUGACUUGCUUUGGUCAACAGGUUGAAGGCCAAAGGGAUAGUUCUCACUUCUGGAUGACGACGUUUGAGCACCGUAUUCCUUUCCCACUGUCGCUGCAAUCAGUGACCCUCCAGAUGGGGGGACAGUUUCGGGCUAGGCCAGCCAAGUCUGAUGGGUAUGCAGUAUAAGAAGUCAACCUUCUGGGGGAAUCUUUGUUAAAGGCCACCUGACCCAGACCAACCUAACUGAUCAAAUCCCUUAGUGAUACCCGCAAGGACACCAGCUUUUGAGAAACUUGGUUCACGAAGGAUAGAUCUGGCCCCGUGAGUAGUCGAAAUGCAGUUUAGUGGCUACACUGGCUCCCUUAAUAAAAUGAAACCUCAAAUCUCAGAGGUCAUGAGGAAGGGACACUGGGUCUUCCCACAGAUGCCCAUAGAGGUCACUCACUUCUUAGCUUGGAACACGACUGUUAGGAUCCGGGCAGGCAGCCAGAGGGGAGCAGGCUCCGACCUGGAUCCAGGCUACACCCGAGGUCAGGGGAGGUGAGCCUUGGCGCUUCGCGGGAGCGUGUGGCCCCACACGGCACCCGCCGGGCAUGGGCUCCAGUGAGUAGGCUCAGGACAAGAGGCUGGGUUCCAUAGUCCGGCAAGAUUGGGACCAGCUGGAGGGGGCGGGGGAGAA
Molecule: long non-coding RNA, 1138 nt
Organism: Neofelis nebulosa (Clouded leopard)
Lineage: Eukaryota; Metazoa; Chordata; Mammalia; Carnivora; Felidae
Exons: 2
Source: RefSeq, a predicted model, not a curated record